GACGAACGCUGGCGGCGUGCUUAACACAUGCAAGUCGAACGAUGAAGCUGGAGCUUGCUCCGGUGGAUUAGUGGCGAACGGGUGAGUAACACGUGAGCAAUCUGCCCUUGACUCUGGGAUAACUGCGGGAAACUGUAGUUAAUACCGGAUACUUUCACUGGAAGGCAUCUUCUGGUGAAGAAAGAAUUUCGGUCAAGGAUGAGCUCGCGGCCUAUCAGCUUGUUGGUGAGGUAACGGCUCACCAAGGCGACGACGGGUAGCCGGCCUGAGAGGGUGACCGGCCACACUGGGACUGAGACACGGCCCAGACUCCUACGGGAGGCAGCAGUGGGGAAUAUUGCACAAUGGGCGCAAGCCUGAUGCAGCAACGCUGCGUGAGGGAUGAAGGCCUUCGGGUUGUAAACCUCUUUUAGCAGGGAAGAAGCGAAAGUGACGGUACCUGCAGAAAAAGCACCGGCUAACUACGUGCCAGCAGCCGCCGUAA
RNAcentral lists this ribosomal RNA (484 nucleotides) under uncultured bacterium. RNAcentral describes it as "partial 16S ribosomal RNA". It matches the Rfam family "Bacterial small subunit ribosomal RNA", at positions 28 to 523 of the family's 1533-position model. The record is from RNAcentral.